RNAcentral lists this ribosomal RNA (510 nucleotides) under uncultured bacterium. RNAcentral describes it as "partial 16S ribosomal RNA". It matches the Rfam family "Bacterial small subunit ribosomal RNA", at positions 28 to 507 of the family's 1533-position model. The record is from RNAcentral.
GACGAACGCUGGCGGCGUGCUUAACACAUGCAAGUCGAACGAAGAGCGAUGGGAGCUUGCUUCUAUCAAUCUUAGUGGCGAACGGGUGAGUAACGCGUAAUCAACCUGCCCUUCAGAGGGGGACAACAGUUGGAAACGACUGCUAAUACCGCAUACGAUCUAAACUCGGCAUCGAGGAUAGAUGAAAGGUGGCCUCUACAUGUAAGCUAUCACUGAAGGAGGGGAUUGCGCCUGAUUAGCUAGUUGGAGGGGUAACGGCCCACCAAGGCGAUGAUCAGUAGCCGGUCUGAGAGGAUGAACGGCCACAUUGGGACUGAGACACGGCCCAGACUCCUACGGGAGGCAGCAGUGGGGAAUCUUCCGCAAUAGACGAAAGUCUGACGGAGCAACGCCGCGUGAGUGAUGACGGCCUUCGGGUUGUAAAGCUCUGUUAAUCGGGACGAAAGGCCUUCUUGCGAAUAGUGAGAAGGAUUGACGGUACCGGAAUAGAAAGCCACGGCUAACUACGUG